This 2767-nucleotide long non-coding RNA is filed under the name Homo sapiens (human). RNAcentral describes it as "HSALNT0371958". The record is from RNAcentral. Lineage: Eukaryota; Metazoa; Chordata; Mammalia; Primates; Hominidae.
GAGUGAGUAGGGAGGAGAGAUAUAGCAGCUGAGUCAGGGUGGGAGGUGGAGGGCAGGUUACUUAGAGCAUCUAAGGCCACUGUAAUUUUACUUUUCUUCUGAGAUAGACAUCUAUUGGAAGGAUUUAAGCAGAUGAUUUAACGUGAGGAACUCUGAGGUUGAUUUGAGUUUCUAAUAAAAAGAAAGAGGGAAAUCAUUCCACAAUGUAUAAUUUACUACCAUCGGUCUCACCCACAUACUCAUUUAUUUUUGAGACUUCAGGUUUUUAAGCAUUGCAGAUUCAUCAGGGGAGGAAUGACUAGUGGGCUGAAUAUGUUGUGUGAAUAACAAUACCAGUUUGGCAGGAAGAUAACACCUUCUGUAUCCUUAACUGGAUUCAGUAAUACACAGGAAUGUGUACACAUGAGGAAAAGAAGGUGAAUCGAUCUGUGUGGUGAUAUUUUUUAAAGUAUAUGCUUUAGAGUUAAAUAUUAUUAAUGGUUUAAUAAUAAGGUGAUUUGUAAAAUCAGUAACAAAAAUAACAUCAGGUAGCUGUGAGACAGCUUCAAUGAAAACGAGAUGAUGUCUUAAACAAACAAUCAGCAACAAAAGCUUUGCUGGAUGCUUCAUCGCGUCACUGCAUCUAUUUAGAAAAUGAGAUGCAGGAUUCAAGGAAGAAAUUAGACCAGAUGAGAAGUCAAUUUCAAGAAAUACAGGAUCAACUUACAGCUACUAUAAGAUGUACUAAGGAGAUGGAAGGUGACGCACAAAAGUAAAAUUUGAAGCAGCACACAAAAUAACUUGAGUAUUUAUAAAGCAAGAGAGCACUGUAGUAUGAAAAUUGUAUCAGUUAUGAUAAUAAGUAUGUCUUUGUGAAGCCAAAAAAGUUUCAUCUGUAAGCUAUAUUGACAUACAUCAUUUUUCUUCAUUAUUCCUAAAUUUUGCAUAUUAUCAACAAAACACAGGUAGAAAAAUGACACAGUAGCCCAGUCAUCUACUUUUGCGAUUGCUAAGAAUUUGUGUAAUUAUACCUUCAGAAGUUUGUUUAGAAUUUACAUGUUUUAAAAACAAUUAUAUGUGAGAGUAAUUAUUUUAAAAUGCACAUUUUAGGCUUGAAGUAGAAAAUGCCAUGAUGAGAAAAACGAUUAAAAAACAGGAUGACCAAAUUGAGCGGCUUGAGAAAAUCCUGCAGCGUUCAAGUUUGGUAAGCUGAUCUCUUAAUUUCUGUCAUACUGAAAAGGAAUUUUAUUUUUCCAGUAGGACGGGUUAAAUGUCCCUUGUCCAAAAUGCUUGGGACCAAAAGUAGAUUUUUUUCAGAUUUUGGAAUAUUUGUAUAUACCUAAUGAAAUAUCUUGGGGAUGGUACCUGAGUCUAAACAUGAAAUUCAUUUAUGUUUCAUAUAUACCUUAUGCACAUAGCCUGAAGCUAAUUCUCUACAAUGUUUUACAGUAAUUUUUUGCAGGUAACAAAGUUUUUACUGUUUUCCCCAGAGCCUGUCACAUGAGGUCAGGUGUGGAACGUUGUGUUGCAGUUGUGGUGUCAUGUCCGUGCUCAAAAAGUUUCAGGUUGUAGAGCAUUUUGGAUUUCAGAUUUUUAGAUUAGGGAUGAUCAAUCUACAGUACAGAUGCUCCUUGACUUGCAGUGGGUUUACAUGAUAAUGUCUCUUGUUUGACUGAAACAUUAUAAGUAAUAUUUGAUUUAUUUCAGAUGCUGCCAGGUGUUCAAGAGCUAGAUGAAGUGCUUGUCCUAGUACCUUAGCACAUGGUUGCUGAAUACAUGAAUGAAGAGUGAGAAACCAGAAGCUCUGAUACUUAACUGCCAUGAUAAUGAAAUCAGUGUGCAACUAUGGGCAAAUUAUAUUUAAUAGUAAUUGCAUAUUGUACAUAUUUUUCAUUCUUAUUAACACUUAUAAACUUUUCAACUUAUACUGACUUUCUCUCAGUUAACUGUGAAAUCAUUUAGAUAAAGAAUAUAAUUCUUUUUCAUUCUAACUUCUGAAUUUAAAUCUGAAUCCUCUAUAGCAGGGGUCCCCAACCCCCAGGCCACAGUCAGGUCCAUGGAGUAUACAGUUUAAGACCUCUGCUGUACAGCUAUACCUCCAUGCUUGCUUUCAGUGGCCAUGACACUUUAUUCAAAUAUGUAAGUUUUAUUAAGACUGAGUUCUUAAAAAGAAAAAACCAAGAACCUUAGAUACAACUAGUGAAGUAUUGAGACCUGUCCAUAUUUAAAACCAAGCACACGAUACCACUUAAAAGGUUCCCCAGAAAGCCUCUAUCCUGAAAUGCUUGAAAGUGAGCAGUGCUGACUCUCGAUUAUCACCAAUUGCAUUAAAUAUGACACUUGUUUUGUUUCUUUUGGCUAUAAGGAGAAAAUGUCAUUUUGUAUACGAGUGAGCACAGAGGAGAGAGAAUGCGGGAAAGAACAGAAUGGGCCAAUAAUUUUUUACUAAAUACUCCAGUUCUCAGCUUUUUAAAUCAACAGACAAAAUGAAUCACCUAAACCUAAAAUCUUUGUGAAUAGUAUAAAUUGUCUUUUAAAUUAAAUGCAUAUAUUUUUAUGUUUUACUUUUUCAAGACAAAAGCGGGAUAUUAGUACAAUAUAAGAUUUAUAGAGGAGCAAAUUUCUUGAGAUAGGAAACCCUUAAAAGCAGUAUUUAAAGUGCUUAAAUACUGUCACAUAUGUUUAAUAAUCAUAAUACUUAAUUGUGAGAACUAGGAGCUCAUGUUACUACUAAAACCAAAUAAAAAUUCAAUACAUAUUUGUUAACUCAAUUUAAGGAUGUUUACCU